GGGGAUUUGGCUCAGAGGUAGAGUGCUUGCCUAGCAAGCACAAGGCCCUGGGUUCGGUCCCCAGCUCCG
Molecule: transfer RNA, 69 nt
Filed under: Rattus norvegicus (Norway rat)
Lineage: Eukaryota; Metazoa; Chordata; Mammalia; Rodentia; Muridae
Rfam family: tRNA
About the family: Transfer RNA (tRNA) molecules are approximately 80 nucleotides in length.
Source: Rfam by way of RNAcentral